Molecule: long non-coding RNA, 201 nt
Filed under: Nicotiana benthamiana
Lineage: Eukaryota; Viridiplantae; Streptophyta; Magnoliopsida; Solanales; Solanaceae
Description: long non-coding RNA (NBEN_LNC013037)
Source: RNAcentral
AGAUCUCAUCAAACAAUCUUAAUUCUCAUCAAGUGAUCUAGAGCAGGCGCUAUUUGUUGCCUUUCGCAAACAAUGCUAAUACAUGUAGCCAAUAAUCUAAAUUUUUAUUUUCUUCCUUAAUAGUUGUUUAUUAAAAUGGAUAAGUGUGAUUACGCAUGACUUCAAUGAAUAUUUAGUGCAUUACAUGUUUAAAAAAUAAUA